GUAGCUCAGUGGUAGAGCAGUUGCCUGGCAUGCAGAAGGCCUUGGGCUCAAUGCCCAGC
Molecule: transfer RNA, 59 nt
Filed under: Heterocephalus glaber (naked mole-rat)
Lineage: Eukaryota; Metazoa; Chordata; Mammalia; Rodentia; Bathyergidae
Rfam family: tRNA
About the family: Transfer RNA (tRNA) molecules are approximately 80 nucleotides in length. Their secondary structure includes four short double-helical elements and three loops (D, anti-codon, and T loops).
Source: Rfam by way of RNAcentral